This 1470-nucleotide ribosomal RNA is filed under the name metagenome. RNAcentral's name for it is "bacterial SSU rRNA". It matches the Rfam family "Bacterial small subunit ribosomal RNA". The record is from RNAcentral.
AGAGUUUGAUCAUGGCUCAGGACGAACGCUGGCGGCACGCUUAACACAUGCAAGUCGAACGAGAGAAGAGGAGCUUGCUUUUCUGAUCUAGUGGCGGACGGGUGAGUAACACGUGAGCAAUCUGCCUUUCAGAGGGGGAUACCGAUUGGAAACGAUCGUUAAUACCGCAUAACAUAAUUGAACCGCAUGAUUUGAUUAUCAAAGAUUUAUCGCUGAAAGAUGAGCUCGCGUCUGAUUAGCUAGUUGGUAAGGUAACGGCUUACCAAGGCGACGAUCAGUAGCCGGACUGAGAGGUUGAUCGGCCACAUUGGGACUGAGACACGGCCCAGACUCCUACGGGAGGCAGCAGUGGGGAAUAUUGCACAAUGGAGGAAACUCUGAUGCAGCGAUGCCGCGUGAGGGAAGAAGGUUUUAGGAUUGUAAACCUCUGUCUUCAGGGACGAAAAAAGACGGUACCUGAGGAGGAAGCUCCGGCUAACUACGUGCCAGCAGCCGCGGUAAUACGUAGGGAGCGAGCGUUGUCCGGAAUUACUGGGUGUAAAGGGAGCGUAGGCGGGAUCGCAAGUCAGAUGUGAAAACUAUGGGCUAAACCCAUAAACUGCAUUUGAAACUGUGGUUCUUGAGUGAAGUAGAGGUAAGCGGAAUUCCUAGUGUAGCGGUGAAAUGCGUAGAUAUUAGGAGGAACAUCAGUGGCGAAGGCGGCUUACUGGGCUUUAACUGACGCUGAGGCUCGAAAGCGUGGGGAGCAAACGGGAUUAGAUACCCUGGUAGUCCACGCCGUAAACGAUGAUUACUAGGUGUGGGGGGACUGACCCCUUCCGUGCCGCAGCAAACGCAAUAAGUAAUCCACCUGGGGAGUACGACCGCAAGGUUGAAACUCAAAGGAAUUGACGGGGGCCCGCACAAGCAGUGGAGUAUGUGGAUUAAUUCGAAGCAACGCGAAGAACCUUACCAGGUCUUGACAUCGUAUGCAUAGCUCAGAGAUGAGUGAAAUCUCUUCGGAGACAUAUAGACAGGUGGUGCAUGGUUGUCGUCAGCUCGUGUCGUGAGAUGUUGGGUUAAGUCCCGCAACGAGCGCAACCCUUACUGUUAGUUGCUACGCAAGAGCACUCUAGCAGGACUGCCGUUGACAAAACGGAGGAAGGUGGGGAUGACGUCAAAUCAUCAUGCCCCUUAUGACCUGGGCCUCACACGUACUACAAUGGCUGUCAACAGAGGGAAGCAAAGCCGCGAGGUGGAGCGAACCCCUAAAAGCAGUCUUAGUUCGGAUUGUAGGCUGCAACCCGCCUACAUGAAGUCGGAAUUGCUAGUAAUCGCAGAUCAGCAUGCUGCGGUGAAUACGUUCCCGGGCCUUGUACACACCGCCCGUCACGCCAUGGGAGUCGGUAACACCCGAAGCCUGUAGUCUAACCGCAAGGAGGACGCAGUCGAAGGUGGGAUUGAUGACUGGGGUGAAGUCGUAACAAGGUA